UGAGGAAUCUUGCGCAAUGGGGGAAACCCUGACGCAGCAACGCCGCGUGAGUGAGGAAGGUCUUCGGAUCGUAAAGCUCUGUCAGUUGGGAAGAAAUGCCCGUUGGUUAAUACCCUUCAGGCUUGACGGUACCAACAGAGGAAGCACCGGCUAACUCCGUGCCAGCAGCCGCGGUAAUACGGGGGGUGCAAGCGUUGUUCGGAAUUAUUGGGCGUAAAGAGCGGGUAGGCGGCCUGAUGUGUCAGAUGUGAAAGCCCGGGGCUUAACCCAGGAAGUGCAUUUGAAACUGUCAGGCUAGAGUAGGGGAGAGGGAAGUGGAAUUCCUGGUGUAGAGGUGAAAUUCGUAGAUAUCAGGAGGAACACCGGUGGCGAAGGCGACUUCCUGGCCCUAUACUGACGCUGAGACGCGAGAGCGUGGGUAGCAAACA
Molecule: ribosomal RNA, 428 nt
Filed under: uncultured prokaryote
Description: bacterial SSU rRNA
Rfam family: Bacterial small subunit ribosomal RNA
Source: RNAcentral